GGGGGGGGGGGGGGGGGGGCUGGCCCGGGCGGGGCGGGGGGGUGGAGGGGGCGGGCUCCUGGAUUCAGCGGCGGAGGGGUGGGGAAUGGCUCGGAAUCUGCCUGGGAGUGGGGGAUAACGGCCGGGAACGGGCGCUAAUACCGCCUACGUCCUGCGGGGGGAGGGGGGGGAUCUUCGGGCCUCACGCUCUCAGAUGAGCCUAGGUCGGAUUAGCUAGUUGGUGGGGUAAAGGCCUACCAAGGCGACGAUCCGUAACUGGUCUGAGAGGAUGAUCAGUCACACUGGAACUGAGACACGGUCCAGACUCCUACGGGAGGCAGCAGUGGGGAAUAUUGGACAAUGGGCGAAAGCCUGAUCCAGCCAUGCCGCGGGUGUGAAGAAGGUCUUCGGAUUGUAAAGCACUUUAAGUUGGGAGGAAGGGCAGUAAGUUAAUACCUUGCUGUUUUGACGUUACCAACAGAAUAAGCACCGGCUAACUUCGUG
Molecule: ribosomal RNA, 483 nt
Filed under: uncultured bacterium
Lineage: Bacteria
Description: partial 16S ribosomal RNA
Rfam family: Bacterial small subunit ribosomal RNA
Source: RNAcentral